This 458-nucleotide ribosomal RNA is filed under the name uncultured bacterium. RNAcentral describes it as "partial 16S ribosomal RNA". It matches the Rfam family "Bacterial small subunit ribosomal RNA", at positions 338 to 795 of the family's 1533-position model. The record is from RNAcentral.
CCUACGGGAGGCAGCAGUGAGGAAUAUUGGUCAAUGGGCGAGAGCCUGAACCAGCCAAGUCGCGUGAGGGAGUACUGCCCUAUGGGUUGUAAACCUCUUUUGUCGGGGAGCAAAAGCAGGACGUGUCCGGCUGUGAGAGUACCCGAAGAAAAAGAAUCGGCUAACUCCGUGCCAGCAGCCGCGGGAAUACGGAGGAUGCGAGGGUUAGCGGGUUUUAUUGGGUUUAAAGGGUGCGCAGGCGGAUGUUAGAGUAAGCGGUAAAAUCGCGGGGCUCAACCCCAUCCAGCCGUUGAAACUGGGGAUCUAGAGUGUGCGAGAGGUAUGCGGAAUGCGUGGUGUAGCGGUGAAAUGCAUAGAUAUCACGCAGAACCCCGAUUGCGAAGGCAGCAUACCGGUGCACAACUGACGCUCAGGCACGAAAGCGUGGGUAUCGAACAGGAUUAGAUACCCCUGUAGUC